Molecule: ribosomal RNA, 493 nt
Filed under: uncultured bacterium
Lineage: Bacteria
Description: partial 16S ribosomal RNA
Rfam family: Bacterial small subunit ribosomal RNA
Source: RNAcentral
GACGAACGCUGGCGGCGCGCUUAACACAUGCAAGUCGAACGGAAAGGCCUGCUUUCCCUUGUGGAUUGCGGGUACUCGAGUGGCGAACGGGUGAGUAACACGUGAGUGAUCUGCCCCCAACUUGGGUAUAAGCCUGGGAAACUGGGUCUAAUUCCCGAUAGGACUGCAGGGUGGUGCCUGUGGUGGAAAACGAUUUUCUAGUGGUUGGGGAUGAGCUCGCGGCCUAUCAGCUUGUUGGUGGGGUAAUGGCCUACCAAGGCGGCGACGGGUAGCCGGCCUGAGAGGGUGGACGGCCACAUUGGGACUGGGAUACGGCCCAGACUCCGACGGGAGGCAGCAGUGGGGAAUAUUGCACAAUGGGCGGAAGCCUGAUGCAGCGACGCCGCGUGGGGGAUGACGGCCUUCGGGUUGUAAACUCCUUUCGACCGCGAGGAAGCCACCUGGUUGGAAGGGUGGUGACGGUAGUGGUAGAAGAAGCACCGGCUAACUACGU